Molecule: ribosomal RNA, 255 nt
Filed under: Vibrio parahaemolyticus
Lineage: Bacteria; Pseudomonadati; Pseudomonadota; Gammaproteobacteria; Vibrionales; Vibrionaceae
Description: partial 23S ribosomal RNA
Rfam family: Bacterial large subunit ribosomal RNA
Source: RNAcentral
UACUACAGCUUGGCACUGAACAUUGACCCUACAUGUGUAGGAUAGGUGGGAGGCUUUGAAGCACGUACGCCAGUAUGUGUGGAGCCGUCCUUGAAAUACCACCCUUGUAGUGUUGAUGUUCUAACGUUGACCCCUAAUCGGGGUUGCGGACAGUGCCUGGUGGGUAGUUUGACUGGGGCGGUCUCCUCCCAAAGAGUAACGGAGGAGCACGAAGGUGGGCUAAUCACGGUUGGACAUCGUGAGGUUAGUGCAAUG